Molecule: ribosomal RNA, 478 nt
Filed under: uncultured bacterium
Lineage: Bacteria
Description: partial 16S ribosomal RNA
Rfam family: Bacterial small subunit ribosomal RNA
Source: RNAcentral
GAUGAACGCUGGCGGCGUGCCUAACACAUGCAAGUCGAACGGAGUCCAGCCUUUAAGACCUUCGGGUCAAAGAGGGGAAGACUGAGUGGCGGACCGGUGAGUAACACGUGGGCAACCUGGCUCAUAGAGGGGGAUAACAGAGAGAAAUUUCUGCUAAUACCGCAUAAGCACACACUGCCGCAUGGCAGAGGGUGAAAAGAGAAUCGCUAUGAGAUGGACCCGCGUCUGAUUAGCCAGUUGGCAGGGUAAGAGCCUACCAAAGCGACGAUCAGUAGCCGAUCUGAGAGGAUGAACGGCCACAUUGGGACUGAGACACGGCCCAAACUCCUACGGGAGGCAGCAGUGGGGGAUAUUGCACAAUGGGGGGAACCCUGAUGCAGCGACGCCGCGUGAGUGAAGAAGUAUUUCGGUAUGUAAAGCUCUAUCAGCAGGGAAGAUAAUGACAGUACCUGAAUAAGAAGCCCCGGCUAACUACGUG